RNAcentral lists this long non-coding RNA (30207 nucleotides) under Solanum tuberosum (potato). RNAcentral's name for it is "long non-coding RNA (STUB_LNC006128)". Lineage: Eukaryota; Viridiplantae; Streptophyta; Magnoliopsida; Solanales; Solanaceae. The record is from RNAcentral.
UAGCUAAUGGAUUGAAAGUUGGGUAAUCCUUAAAGAGGAUCUUCUUUCUUUGACAUGUAAGUGAAUUUAAGGGUUUUAUUUUCAGGUUAGUUAAUAAGAUCUGUUAUAGGAAUCAACCACAUAUCUAAUGUAGGAAAAAUGAUGUAUGUUAGCAUCUAAUGAUAGAGUAGUGUAUGGAGAAGAAUAUCAUAGUUUUGGAAUAGUGUUGCCCAUGAGAUGUAUGUUAUUUUUUAAGCCUUGAGUUUUGUGUUGCCUCUACGGCAAAAGUUAUAGAGUAUAUCAUAAGUUAGAAAUAGGGAAAUAGUGUAAACUGUUGCCCAUGAGACAUAUAUAAUAUAUUUUAAAACCCUUGAGCCACUUUUUGCCUCUAAGACAAUAGUUAUUGUGUUCCCCGUAAGUUAGACUUAAUGAAAAUGGUGUAAACUGUUGUCCUUGAGGUGCAACUUGUUCCUUGAAAGUCUUAGGGUUAAGUCUUACUUCUAAGACAAGAGUUAUAGUCUUAUAGAGCAUCUCAUAUAUGAAGGCACAAUGUGGUAGCGUCAAGUCUUUCCCAUAGGGCUUAACUUGUUGUUUGGAAGUCCUUGAGCUAAUAAGCCCUACCUCUAAGAGAAUAGUUAUAGAAUAUAUCAUAAAUCAUGAUUUCUUGCUCAUGGAGCAUAACUUAUUCUUUGGAAGCCCUUGGACUAAGUCUUGCCUCUAAGGCAAGAGUUAUAAAGCAUAUGAUAAAUCAAGACACAAUGAAGUAAUGUCAAGUCUUGCCCGUGGGGCGUAACUUGUUGUUUUGAAGUUCUUGGCGUAAGUCUUGCCUCUAAAGCAAGAGUUAUAGAGCAUCUCAUAGAUCAAGAUACAAUAAAAUAGUGUCAACUCUUGCCCAUGGGGUGUAGCUUUUUGUUUUGAAGUUCUUGGUCUAAGUCUUGCCUCUAAGGCAAGAGUUAUAAAGCAUAUCAUAAAUCAAGACAGAAUAAGAUAGUGUCAACACUUGCCCAUGGGACAUAACUUUAAGGCUCACAGUACCCAUCCAUUUAUCAAUCCAAAAACUUGUUUUUCUGCCAUUUCGAACUUUGACAGUUAAUUGAUUACUGAGAAACUGCCAGAAUAUUCUAAUGGAUUUCCAGAGGCUAAUACCAUAAGGAGUGUUGACCUCUUUAGUUACCCAUGUGUUCAGUUGCUCAUACUUGCUCUUGAUUACCCUGUACCAGAGGGCUUGGUCCUCCUGAUGGUACCUCCAUAGCCACUUGACCUUGAGUGCUUUGCUUUGGUAUUUAAGGUUCUUGAUACCUAGUCCACCUUGUUCUUUGCUUCUGAUAAUGUUCUUCAUUUGACCAAAUGUAAACCUUUCCUUUCCUUAUUACCUUGCUACAAGAAGUUUCUUCUGAUUUUAUCCAACCUUUGAACUACUGACUGGGGUAUAUGGAAGAUAGAUAACAUAUAUGUAGGGAAGGCAUCUAAAACUGAGUUAAUCAAAGUUAGUCUACCUCCCAAGGAUAGAUAUUGUGAUCUCCAUCUGGCUAAUUUCUUUUCACAUUUCUCCAGAAUUGGAUUCCAAAUAUCUAUGGACCUAUACUCAUCCCCCAGAGGCAUGCCCAAGUAUAUUGAUGGCAAAGUGCCUAUCGCACCUCCCAGGAUCUGAGAAAGGUGAUCCAUUUCUGGAACCACAUUAAUUGGAUACAAGUGGCUUUUGUUCCAAUUUAUAUGGAGCCCAGAAAUGGCUUCAAAGUACACCAAUAUAAGUCUUAUUAUCAAGAGUUGCUCCUCCUCAGCCCCACAAAAAAAUGAGUGUAUCAUCAGCAUAGUGCAGAUGUGUGAUCUCUACACUGUUUCCAGCAACCUUGCUAACUUCAAAUCCCUGAAUUCUUCCUGUUAUCUUAGCUACAUUAUGCAUGUUGUCGAGUCCCUCCAUGGCUAUGAUGAACAGGAAAGGGGAUAGGGGAUCCCCUUGCCUGAUCCCUCUAUGUGCAUUGAAGAAUCCUUCAGGUGACCCAUUAAUGAGUAUUGAAAACUUCACAGUUGAGAUACAGAACUUGAUCCAGCUGGUCCACCUCCCACCAAAACCCAUUUGACUCAGCAUACUUAAAAUGAAUUCCCAGUUCACAUGGUCAUAUGCUUUCUCAAUAUCAAGUUUGCAUAAUAUACCGGGUUUUUUCUGGGUCACUCUGGAAUCAAUUGCUUCAUUAGCUAUGAGCACUGCAUCUAUUAUUUGCCUGCCUUUGAUAAAAGCCAUUUGUUGCUUGUCUACCAAUUUAUCCACAACUCUCUUGAGUCUUUCUGUCAGUACCUUGGAAAUCAGCUUGUAAAAGCUUCCAAUUAAGCUGAUGGGUCUGAAGUCUUUGAGUUCCUUUGCUCCUGUCUUCUUAGGAAUCAGUGCUAUGUAAGUUGCAUUAUAGCUUUUUUCAAACAUCCCAGUUGAGUGAAAAUUAUGGAAUGCCCCCAUAAUGUCUUGUUUAAUGAUGUCCCAACAUUUUAGAUAAAACCCCAUUGUGUAACCAUCAGGGCCAGGGGCUUUGUCUAUAGCACACAUCUUUAGACACUCAAAAACUUCUUGCUCCUCAAACGCAGCCUGCAAUACUUCAUUCUCAUCCGCUGUAAUGGUAGGAUGAUUGCUAAUAUUUUCAGAAGGCCUCCACUCUUCAGGUUCUGUAUAUAACUUCUUGUAGAAGGAAAUGAUUUCUUCCUUGAUUCUAUUUGGCUCAGAUAUGGUCUCUCCCUGCACUUCCAGCUGAUCAAUGUGGUUAUAUCUCUUGUGGGCAUUAGCAGUUUGAUGAAAAAACUUUGUAUUCCUAUCCCCUUCCUUGAGCCAUAAAGCUCUUGAUCUCUGCCUCCAGGCCACUUCCUCAUUCUUUAAGCACCCCUCAUACUCCAUGAAAAGUGUUGCUUUUUUGGCUAUUUCCUCCUCUGUUAAAGCUCUACUGUUUAGAUGUGAAUCCAGCUCAGCCAUCUGUAUGAGAAGGUUGUUCUUUUGCAAAUUCAGAUUUCCUUGUUCAUUUCUGCUCCGUUCUUUCAAUUUCCCUUUGAGAGCUUUGAGUUUACAUGCUAAGAUGUAAUCAGGGUUCCCAUAGAAUUCGAAAGCAUUCCACCAGUCUUUGAUUCUUUCAACAAAACCUUCUUGGUUUAGCCACCAAUUUUCAAACUUCAAAAUAGGAUUUGGAUUGCUCUCAGUGUCCACAGAAAAGAGCUAUAGGAACAUGAUCUGAAAUCACUCUUUGCAGAGUAGUCUGCUUUAGGCUAUUGAAAAGAUUAUUCCAUUCUAUGGAGACCAGAAUCCUGUCAAUUCUACCUGCAGUGGUAUGGUUAUCACCUUUGUACCAAGUAUAUCUUCCACAACCUAGCUGUGGAUCAAUGAGGUCCAUGUCCUCAAUGCAAUCUGAGAGCUCUCUCAUUGCUGAAUUUCUCUUGCUACAAUCCCUUUUUUCAGAGGGAAAUCUACAAACAUUGAAGUCACCACAGAUGGCCCAUGGUCCAUCCAUCAAUCCUCUUACAUCAGCCAAUUCCUCCCAUACUAGCCUCCUCUCCACUUGACUGUUGGGAGCAUACACACUAGUAAUAUGACAUUCGAAAUUGCUUAACUGAGCACCUGACCUUGCAAGACAUAGUAUAGGCUCCAACUUGUAAAGUUUCCCCUUCCCAAAUUCUAGAGUCCCAUAGUAUUAGGAUUCCACCUCUGGUUCCACUGGCCUCCAGACAUGCAUAUUUAAUCCAUCUCCCUGCCCAAAUUUGUUUGAUUAAUUCUUGUACAUUGCCUUCUAGUUUUGUCUCCUGGAGGCAGACUGUCUGCUUUCCAAUCCUAAAUCAUAUUUGUGCCCACCAUUCUCUGCCCCUGACUUUCCAAUCCUGAAUCAUAUUUUGUACCACCAUUCUCUUCCCCUGAUCCUUCAACCCCCUAACAUUCCAUGAGAUUAAUUUGAUCUUCAUGGAGUAUUCUGUGAGCUCCCCUUCCCCUUCCCUCUGUCUCCAUUGCUUUUGAAUUUAACAUCAAAGGAUAUCAGAUUCUUUAACUCUUGUGCUCCUUUAUGUUUUGUUCUCUUAACUUCUAUUGACCUCUCCAUUUUUCUUACUUGCCUGCUUGCAUCCACCUGCUUAAGGAGUUCAAGUGCUUCCUCUUCCAUCCCCUGGAAAUCCACUCCAAACAUCUUAUGGAGUUUCAAUAAGUUUUGAUGAAUCCAGGCUGUGGCCUUCCUCUCCGUUUCAGUAAGAGCUCCUUGUUGUUGUGUACAAAGGGGUUCGAUCUCCUGUACAUCCCAUAAUUCCCCAGAAUUUUCCAUCCCCAUUAUUUCCUGACUUCAAAUAUCCUAACUAUAGCUAUAAAACCCCAACUAUAACAACGAUUGUACUUCUUUUAAAAUAUAGUUGUGUAUAGUAAAUACAUAUCACAUGUUUGCCUUACUAUAUCAUUUUUUCUAUUUAAAAGUGGAGGUGGGUCAUUUGGUUAUGAGCUUGCCACAUGUCCCUCUGUCAAAAUUAAGGGAAAAUUUGUGUCGAAGUAUAAUGGGAGGGGUAUAUUUGGAUCGAAAGUAUAACGAGAAGGGUAUAUUUAGACCAAAAGUAUAACAAGGGAUGUAUUUGACCCUUUUCUGUUUCUAAAAUAACCAUCUUGUGAAUAUGAUGUGACCUUAGAUGCUUAGCAUUCACUAUAAUAUAGCAUUCAUGGUGUCACAACCACCCUACAAAACUUGCAUAUUGCUUUGGCAGGUAGAUACCUAUCUCAUAACCCUCACGUAGAACUCCUCCAGUUAAGUGGUUCUGUUUUAAUUUAUAGGUAUAGCAUCUUCAUCAAUUAUACAUUUCUCUCUUAAAAUUGAGAUAUUAGAUAUAUGAAUUAUCUGCAUUUGAGCAAAGUCCGUUUAAUCUCACAUCAAUUUCAUAUUUCCUAUGCAGGCUAAACUUGAAGUAUGUAUGUUUUGUGUUACUACUAACAAUCUAAAUAAUUGCUACCAUCUAUAGUGUUUUUUCACACUCAAACUUUUGAUUGAUUCCUCCGCUAGUUUUGUUAAUUAACACCGCAUCAUGUUCAAAUAGCAUACACCAUGGAACCCUAUAUUUUUAUACUACUGAUUAGCUCAUCCAAUGGGUAAACAAAGUAAGGCUCAAGAUAGAUAUCGAAUGUAAAUCCCCCUCUUUAAAAAAAUUCUCUACUAUCUCUUCCAUUAUUCACAUACGUGAUAGUUCCUUUGUACUUAUCCUUUAUGACAUUUAUAUAUUUGAUCUGAAUUCUUUCUUCGAAUUGACUAUUGUUACAUUGGCUGUUAACCUUCCAAAAUUCUCCUCCUUUGUUUGAGAUUGAAACGGGCGAUGCGAAACUCAAAUAAGAUAUGAUUCCUUCAUAGGGGAAGUUGAAAAAUCAGUAAUGUUAUCCAAUUCAAUAUAAUGUCCUAAGGGUUAAAUGCUAUAAGACAUUCAUGUUACACAGUUAGUUUGGUCAUGAUAUGUCCCUUGUUGAUGUGAAAACACAAAAACACUGUCACUGACUAGUUAUGUCCAUUUAACUUUUCAUUUUUGUUCUCGACUGGUUCUGGCAUAAAAUUUCUUCAGGCAUCCGGCUUUGUAGUUUCUGUUUUCUUCUUCUCCCUUUGACUUUACUGGUUCAUUUUUUUCAAUGUUUUCUCUCUUUAAGCAGAAUGUCAUGCAUUAUAAUGCAACUGUUGUCUGUUAAUAGUUGUCAAACUAUGUAAUAUGUAUAUUCUUAGGCCUAAAGCUUUAUAAUCUCUUUGGGAAGCAUAACUAGGUAUGUUGGUAAGGUUGGAAAUACUCGGAACAUAUGCCCCCACAUUGGUUGUUAAUUUUGUUUUAGAACCCAGUUGGGCAACAUUUCAUGAACUUGCAAUUUUAAUAUAAUGAACAGGCGUGUGAUCUUGUUUCUAUGACCCCUUCAUGGAAUCAUGGAAAUUGGAAUACUAAAAUCCCCAAGAUUGCUCUUUCUAAACUCAUAUAUUGCAGAAAUUGAUUUCCGUAUUUUGAAUUUAAAUAUCUUGACAAUUUCUUCACUCAUAUUUGUAAAUUUUACGGGAGCUGUGGGGCUGUCCUCACUUUAAUUUUUUUGCAUGCAGCUGUGAGACGUUGUGGAUCAUGGAUUUAGCCUCAGGCUUGAUCACAGAGGUUGUUAGAGGUAUAGAAAGUAUUGCCAAACAUGUUCUUAAGUUGUCUCUAUUCUAUCAGUUAGCCUUGUCAGUUGUUGACUCACCCAUACUCUAAAAGGAUUUUCAAAUAUUUUGGAGAUCUGUGAGCCAUUGAUCCUGGAGAAGUCGAUGCUUUUGAAUGAAAUACCUAAUGAUUGGUUGCAGCAGCGAGUGGAUGCACAUUGCUCGACAAAGAGAAUUCCAUAUGUUGAGCUCAUAUCUUCUGUGGAAACUUUUCAGGAUCAGAUACUCAUUUGUGAUACAGGUAAAAAUGUCUUCAAUGAUUGGAUCCGUUGUAGCAUUUGCUUUGCCCGAUCCAAUUUUUGAUUGUGUUUAUCUGUAGUUGGUUAGACGUUAUUAAAACUCAAUAGAAACUCGGGUUCUAUAUCAAGCUUCCAGUUUUCUAAUUUGGGGAUCCUUGGGUUUCCUUACUGGUCCUCAUCUCCUCUGGAACGAGUAUGUGCUGCGUAAGUGUAGCAGAUUAAAGAGGCCCAGUUAAGCCAUUUUUCUUUUCUGCUUUCUCUGGGCGAUUAUAUUAAUUUUGUUGUGAUGUUUGAUGCUGGUGUUACAGUGAUGCAGCAUUGGCAGCGAAUUCUAUUGAUCACAUAGAAUCUUUCAACUUGUUGCCAGGUAGUGGUUUAAAUAAUUUGUGAAAAAGCUCUUACCAGGAAAAAAGUUUACAACAAGUUUGUCACGCCCCAAACUCAUGGGGUGCAACUGGCUCCUAAUGCCAAAACUCAGGCUCGAGCCGCCCCUGCUGAACCAUUUGCUACUAGCACAUGGCAGUCACACGCAAUCAAGAAAACAAACAAGUAUAUCUCGGCUUAAAAUUAAGCCCUCGGCCGGCAAAGCCCCUGUCAACAGAUCUACAAAAGAAACAGUUACUCCCAAGAGUUCAUACGUCGAGGCCACCAUGAUCUCUAUACCGAAACUGAAAGCAGGUAUAUAUCAAAACAAUACAUCAAACAAUUAACAAGCUUCAACAAACCAACAAACUAGGCCAGCAUGGCCAUAACGUAGCUAUAUACCCACACACUAGUCUGCAAGCCUCUAAGAGUAGUAAAGAUUGGUGGGACAGGGCUCAGCCUAUCCAUAAAAAUAUAUACAACAAAAGCUAACAAACCUCUAACUCUGGCAGCUUCAGAGGAAAUGGGCUAGCCAAUCGGAUAGAAGUCAAUCAUGCUGUUGAGGAGGUCUACUGGGUCGUCUGUCGGGACCUGUAGGCAUGAAUGCAGUACCCCCAUACAAUGGGGCAUCAAUAUGAAAUAAUAUAUCGAGUAUAAAAGGCAAUAGACUAUGAGCAGGUAUCCUAAUAUACUGGGAGUAAUCCGAUAAAUAAAUCAAAAAUAACAUAAGUGUACUAACCUGCUCCUAAAUCUAAACAUAUCAAAAAUACUAAAACAACAGCCUAACCAAGCCCCCAUAAGCUCGGCAUGUACAAACAACACACAAGACCACCUACCUAGGCCCUCAUAAGGUAUCAAGCAAUCUAUAUACCCCUAUCGGUAGUCCCCUAGCCCCGUAGGCAGCCACAUAGUCCUCUUAGGCAAUAACAUAGCUCUCUCAGACAUCAAUAUAGCUUAUAGAUAACUCAUAGCCCUCUUAGAUAGCAACAUGGCCUUGUAGGCACCAUAUAGCCUUCUUAGGCGUCAAUAUAGCCCCGUAGGCUACUCAUAGCCCUUUUAGGCAUCAAUAUAGCCCCGUAGGCAACUCAUAGCCUUUCUAGGCAUCAAUAUAGCCCCGUAGGCAGAACAUAACUCUUCUAGGCAUAGAUCACAUUCUUGCAGCUAACCACAAUAUCCCCAAGGGCAACAAUAACAAUCCAAUAGGCUAAAAGCGAGCAAUUUAGCUAUAAGCAACCUAUACGAAUAGCCUCUAAGUCGUGUUCAACAUAGGGACGCUACUAACUGUAUAAGAAUCCCGACAAGAGAGGAUUAUUUCCACUCGAGCAACCAACAAUCAACAAUAAUGGCUACAAGGAUAACAACCCAAUUACAUUGCUCCUAAAGCUUUAAGGAAACAUGUUGUAAGAAGGGAAUAGCCUUAACAUACCUUUUUCGCUGAAUUCACGUGGCCUAAUGACUUUUACUCAUAACUCCCUCGAUACUACAACAAGGCAGGACCAUAAUCAACACACAAGAAUAGAAGAUACCACGAUAAUUCGAUAAAAGAUAUGUAUUUUCAUCGCAAAUUGCUAUUUGCGGCUUAUCAAAGCUAGAGUCGAUGAAAGAAGGGUCUUACCUUGAUCCUAAGUUCGUAAUACACCUCAAAACCUUAAAAUAUGUCCAAACCCUUGUUGUCCCAACACCAAAGUAUGAUAUGCUACGAAAUCGAUAAAACAAAUUAUACCAUGUUGACCAGCUCAACGCAUAGAACAACUUCGUCAAGGACUUAAGUUGAGAAAAUCUAUAAUUUGGUUGAUCCUAAAAGUGGGUUUUCUAAGUUUUCUGGUUCUUAACUGAAAAAAAUGAAGAAAAGUCGAAGAAGAAGAUAUAUAAAAAGUUCCACCGACCUAGGGCCCACCUCACGUGCCUGCUUGUGCAGUCUCGCAAAAAUGUGAAUAUCUCUCUAUUCUGAAGUCGUAUGAACGAACGGUUUGAUGCGUUGGAAACUAGACUCAUAGACCUUUGAUUUGAUAAGUCGUGGGCCCCAUAACUCUUUAUAGAUUGAGAGAAAACCUCUGAGACAUUUGACCCAAAUUUCAGAGAAAUCUCUAAAAAUGGACUUAUGAAACUUUCGCCAACUUUUAUUUUGCCACUUACCUAACUUCAAAACUUGAGAUACAACCCUUGAACACUUAAAAUAUGACAUGCCACAUCAUUCUUAAUUUAUUACCCAUCCUCUUUGUCUUUCAACGAAGAUACGAGUUAAUUUAGACGUUUUGAAAAGUCGGGGUGUUACAUUCUUCCCCCCUUAAAAACAUUCGUCCUCGAAUGAAAAAUGUGAGUCACGCGGUUAAGUCCUUCGGAGUUGCCAAAAUUUAGGCAGAGUAACCUUUGUAAAUGUGACUAUCAAAGGGCUACUGAUAGGGUAUGUAGAUUGAUUUGGCACCUUCUGGGCUUAUGGGGGCCUAGGUAGGUGGUAUGUUGUUUGUACCUGCCGAGCUUAUGGGGGCUUGGUUAGGUUUUUGUUGGGAGUCAGAUUGUUAGAGGCAGAUGAUAGUGGGGUCACAAUUCAGGACACAGCCGUAUCAUCUCUAGUUGUAGAGAGAAAAGCACGGCAACAAGAGGAUCCUAGCUUAGAGCAGCUCAGAGCCAAGACUCGGGAUCAUCAGUCUUUAGCAUUUGAUAUAGAAGGAGAUCGAGUCCUCGGAUAGAAAGGUCGAUUGUGUGUUUCGAAUGCUGCAGGGCUUCGACAUCAGAUUAUGGAAGAGACACAUCAUUCCUGUUAUUCUAUUCACCCUGGUUCGACGAAGAUGUACCAUGAUAUUAAGGAGAUCUAUUGGUGGAACGGAAUGAAGAAGGACGUUGCUGAGUUUGUGGCACAGUGUCCUAAUUGCCAACAGGUGAAGGUUGAGCACCAAAAGCCCGCUGGGUUAGUCCAUGAGAUAGUCAUUCCUUUGUGGAAGUGGGAAGCAAUUAAUAUGGAUUUUAUUAUAGGGUUACCUUGAUCGCGUCGUAAAUUUAACUCUAUUUGGGUAAUUGUUGACAGACUAACAAUCAGCCCACUACUUUUACAGCCGAAGACUAUGCAGGACUCUAUAUUAGAGAGAUUGUUAGGCUACACAGUGUCCUAGUAUCUAUUAUCUCUGAUAGAGGAGCACAAUUUACCGCUAACGUCUGGAAGUCCUUCCAGAAAGGACUGGGGACACAGGUUAAUCGUAGUACAACCUUUCACCCUCAGACAGAUAGCCAGGCUGAGCGCACAAUUUUGACAUUCGAUGAUAUGUUACGGGCGUGCGCGCUAGACUUCAAGGGAAGGUGGGAUGACCACUUGCCUCUUAUUGAGUUCGCAUACAAUAAUAGUUAUCAUUCCAGUAUCGGGAUGGCACCUUAUGAGGCUUUGUAUGGGCAAAAAUGUUGAUCCCCCAUUAGAUGGUUCGAGGUAGGUGAGUCAGGGUUGAUUGGACCCAACUUAGUACAACAUACAGUGGAGCAGGUUAAGCUCAUUCGGGAGAGGUUGCUAACAGCUCAAAGCCGACAGAAGUCAUACUCAGAUGUGCGACGAAGGGACUUAGAGUUUUGUGUCGAUGACUGGGUAUUCUUAAAAGUCUCGCCUAUGAAGGGUGUUAUGAGAUUUGGUAAGAAAGGCAAGCUUAGUCAAAGAUUCAUUGGGCCAUACCGGAUCCUUCAGAGGGUAGGACAAGUAGCUUAUGAGUUAGAAUUGCCUUUGGGGCUAGAAUCUGUUCAUCCAGUUUUCCAUGUAUCGAUGCUACGGAAGUGCGUAGGAGACCCUUCUCGGGUUGUCCCAGUUGAGGAUGUUCAGAUCACAGAGGAGUUGUCCUACGAGGAAACUCCAGUUUCCAUAUUAGAUCGACAAGUUCGUAAAUUAAGGACCAAAAAGGUGGCUUCAGUUAAAGUAUUGUGGAGAAAUAAGAAUAGAGAAGAGGUGACCUUGGGAAGUUGAGGAUGGCAUGAGGUCUAAAUAUCCUCACUUGUUUCAUACCCCAGGGUGAUGGUAUAUUAGUUUAUAUUAGUGCAGUAAGGUAAGAUACCUAUCUGAUUUUUUUUAUACUGUUGCUUAUUAUUAUAGUUGUCGUAUUUUUGCUCACACUGUUAUUGUGGAGCUAUAGUGCUUAGCUAUUUAUGUCGUCCUGUGAGACACCUAGAUUAGGAUUUCUGCGUUUCAGGUUCCUGGAUAGUAACAUUUACAAAGGAUACUUUGCCUAAAUUUUGGCAACUCCUAAGGACUUAACCGCGUGACUCACAUUUUUCAUUCGAGGAUGAAUGUUUCUAAGGGGGGGAGGAUAUAACACCCCGACUUUUCGAAACGUUUAAAUUAACUCUUACCUUCGUGGAAAGACAAAAAGGGUGAGUAAUAAAUUAAGAAUGAUGUGGUAUGUCAUAUUUUAAGUGUUCAAGGGUUGUAUCUCAAGUUUUGAAGUUAGGUAAGUGGCAAAAUAAAAGUUAUCGUAAGUUCCUUUUUAAAUAUUUCUCUGAAAUUUGGGUCAAAUGUCUCGGAGGUUUUCUCCCAAUCUAUAAAGAGUUGGGGCCCACGACCUAUCAAAUCGAAGGUCUACGAGUCUAGUUUCCAACGCAUCAAACCAUUCGUUCAUACGACGUCAGAAUAGAGAGAUAUUCGUGUUUUCGCGAGACUGUGCAAGCAGUCACGUGAGGUGGGGCCCUAGGUCGGUGGAACUUUUUAUAUAUCCUCUUCGACUUUUUCUUCAUUUUUUUUAGUUAAAAACUUAGAAAACUCAUUUCUAGGAUCAACCAAAUUAUAGAUUUUCUUGACGAAAGUUGUUCUACGUGUUGAGCUCGUCAUCAUGGUAUAAUUUAUUUUAUCGAUUUCGUAGCAUAUCAUAUUUUGUUGUUGGGACAACAAGGGUUUGGACAUGUUUUGAGGUGUAUUACGAACUUAAGAUCAAGGUAAGACCCUUCUUUCAUCGACUCUAGCUUUGAUAAGCUGCAAAUAGCAAUUUGCGACGAAAAUACUUAUCUUUUAUCAGAUUAUCGUGGUAUCUUCUAUUCUUGUGUGUUGAUUAUGGUCCUGCCUUGUUGUAGUAUCGAGGGGGGUUGUGAGUAAAAGUCGUUAGGCCACUUGAAUUCAGCGAAAAAGGUAUGUUAAGGCUAUUCCUUUCUUACGGCAUGUUUACUUAAAGCUUAGGAGCAAUGUAAUUGGGUUGUUAUACUUGUAGCCAUUAUUGUUGAUUGUUGGGUGCUCGAGUAACAAUAAUCCUCCCUUGUCGGGAUUCUUAUUCAGUUAGUAGCGUUCCUAUGUUAGACACGACUUAGAGGCUAUUUGUAUAGCUUGCUUAUAGCUAAAUUGCUCGCUUUUAGCCUAUUGUUAUUGUUGCUAUUGUGGUUAGCUACUGGAAUAUGAUAUAUGCCUAGAAGGGCUAUGAGUUGCCUAUGGGGCUAUAUUGAUGCCUAUGAGUUGCCUACGAGGCUAUAUUGAUGCCUAGAAGGGCUAUGAGUUGCCUACGGGGCUAUAUUGACGCCUAAGAAGGCAAUGUGUUGCCUACAGGGCCAUGUUGUUGCCUAAGAGGGCUAUGAGUUAUCUAUAAGCUAUAUUGAUGCCUAAGUGAGCUAUGUGCUGCCUACGGGGCUAGGGGUAUAUAGACUGAUUGACACCUUCUGGGGGCCGAGGUAGGUGGUCUUGUGUGCUAUUUGUACCUGCCAAGCUUAUGGGGGCUUGGUUAUGUUGUUGUUUUAUUAUUUUUGUUAAGUUUAGAUUUAGGAGCAAGUCAAUACACUUAUAUUAUCCUUGAUUUAUUUAUCGGAUUACUCCCAAUAUAUUAAGAUACCUGCUCAUAGUCUAUUGCCUUUCAUACUCGGUACAUUAUUUCGUACUGAUGCCCCAUUGCCUGGGGGUACUGCAUUCAUGUCUGCAGGUCUCGACAACCCAGUAGACCUCCUCAGCAGCAGGAUUGACUUAUAUCCGGUUGGCUAGCCCCUUUCCUCCGGAGCUGCCAGAGUUGGGAGGUUUGUUAGCUUUUGUUGUAUAUAUAUUUAUGGGUAGGUUGGGGUCAUGUCCCACUAAUCUUUACUACUCUUAAAGGCUUGCAGACUAGUGUGUGGGGUGUAUAGCUAUGUUAUGGCCUAGUUUGUUGGUUUGCUGAAGCUUGUUAGUUUUUUAUGUAUUGUCUUGAUAUAUACCUGCUUUCAGUUUCGGUAUAGAGAUCAUGGUGGCCUCAACGGCCCAAUCAGGACUUCUGUGCUAGUUGACUAUUUCUUUAUAUGAACUCUUGGGAGUAGUUGUUUCUUUUAUGGAUCUGUUGACAGGGGCCUUGUUGUCGAGGGCUUAAUUUUAAGUUGAGAUAUACUUGUUUGUUUUCAUGAUUGUGUGUGGCUGUGAUGCAGUAGCAAAUGGUUCAGUAGGGUCGGCUCGGGCCUGAGUUUUGGCAUUAGGAGCCAGUUGCGUCCCUUGAGUUUGGGGUGUGACAAACUUGGUAUCACCUGAUCUUUUGGUUGUUUAUCAAUACCUAUAAUUUUUAUCUUCGACAUUGUAUCUUCUUUUUCUAGAUCAUAAAAUUUUUUUAUCUUUCUUUACCUGUUAAAAAAGUUGGUUUUUUAGAGAUCAAUGUGAAAAAGAGAAAGUAGGCCAAGUUUUUCUAGAUAGAGGGAGUACUACAUGAUAAUCCCACUUCAUUUGUUUAACAGGUAAAAUUGACAUACGACUGAAUGUGGAUAUUCCAGAAUAUGUUGAUCUAAUUGAACCAUUGGGUGAAAGUUGUAUAUGGCGGCAAACUAGAGGGGCAGCAGCUGAAAUAUCCGAGGCAGAUAGCACAAUUACGUCUUCAGAAAAGGUUUCUGAUCACCUUUAGGCUUCAUGUAUUUGUAUUCAGCCAUAAAUUCUACUUCCUUCAUCCCAAGCUGAUUUUCCACUUCUCAUUUUUAGCUAGUUCCAAAAUAAUUUUCGAAAAGAAAGUCGUGGUAUAUACCAUGUACCGCAAAUAGUUAUCUGGGACCCUUUUUAAAAAAAAGAAUAUUGUUCAACAUUUUAUCUCAACAAAUGCCGAAUAAUUCAUUUUUAAACUCCUUCAGUAGCAGAGCAAAGUCAAACCAAUUAAGAGUUAAAUGGAUGGGGAUAUGCAGGUUGGUAUUGCCCAGCAAAGGUAUGAUGAAAUUGAACACCUUGCCUUUUCAACAUCAGAAAUAGAAGCAACCAUAGAAGAGAGGACAAUGAGCUGCGGUGACGAAAUUCCAGAAGGGAAAGUCGAGAUCAGUUGCUCCGUUAACUCAAGUCCUGGAACAAGUGAGGUACAUUAUUCUUCCCAGCAAUUUCCUUUUGAUUCUGAAUCACCGCGAUCCUCCAGGAUUUAUGUGAAAAUUUCUCACUGAAGUUGUUUAAAAUGAUACGUUAAUUGGUAUAGUUGUCCGUCCAGUCUAGAAAUUAUUCACAUUUUGACCUUAAUUUCAGAUUAAAAAAAUGCUGAUUUAGUCAUUAUGUGAUUGUCUUCUCCACCAGGUUUUCAUUUGUGCUGCACUAUAUCUUAGACUGAAAAAGGAUUCAGAUGCCUGUAGUGGCGGUAGACAGAGGAAAGCAGCUAGAAUAGCAGAUUUGCUCAACCCUGGGACAAGGGCAAGCAAAGAUUUAGUUGUUCAGUUCUUGUUGGCAUCAAAUAGAGAUCUUGAAGAAGUUAUCAUAACAAGACCUGUACAUGUGAAACUCAAGUUUGAUUGUCCAAAGCAUCCAAAAGCAGAUAAUUCCAAAGAUAUAAUUAUGACAGACACCUCUGUAAAUGUGAAUGUUGCUCUAAAGUAAAACAUUUAAUAGUCUAGUGUAUGAUUCUUGAUGAUAUUAGAGGCUCAUUAUUUUUGUAUCAAUGAGUGGCUUACUAUCUACUUAAUAGUUGAUUUUUAUGUUGCACUGUUGAUAAUUUCUGUAUGGAGCUGUAAAAUUAAAAGUUCUAAAUGUUCAUGUUUCCUGCAUAAUUUUAUGAACUUUUUGCCUGUGACACUGCUAGUUAUUUUGGUGAAUAUGACAAUUAUUUCCUUUGAUUUUUAAGUCAUAUAUGAUAGUUUUAACUUAAGAAACAUUGAUGAUAGUGAUAGCAAAAUAAGUAUCAUCAGAGGUCUUUCGAAAAUAACAUUUCUAUAUCAUGCUGGUAGUGGUAAGGUCUGUGUACACUCUAUUUUUUCAAAACCUCACUAGUGAGAUUUCAUUGGGUAUGUUAUUGUUGUUGUUUGUUGUUGAUCAGAAUGUAAAUUUUGUGUACCAUGUAUUGGAUGACUGUGUCUCGAUGAUUUUAAAAUAUACUUUAAAACUAAUAAAAUAAUUUAUAAGAAGAUAAGAGAAUUAUUUUUAUUUACAUAAAUAUAUUAUAUGUUAAUUUCAUAACGAAAUAAUAUAAUAAUAACAAAGAAUAUUUUAAAAAAUUCAUUGAUAAUUGAAAUUAUUCAUAGAAUAGCACAUACAAACCAUACAUAUUAAAUAACUUUUUUGUAACAUACAUUAUUAGUGUAAGACUAUCAAGUCUCAAUUAUUUAUUGCAACAAGUAAUAUGUUUCUUAAAAAAAAUCAAUCUACAAAAAACAAGCACAUUAUAUAUCAAAAAAUUUGAAAUAUCGAGAAGAUUUUAUAUCUCAAUUUAUGGAACAGUGUAGAGGUGAUUUUGAGUUAAUUGAAAUUGAAUAGUCCGUAUAUACUUUACGUAUAAUCAAGUUGUAUUCAACUUUUUGAGUGUAACAUAAUGUAUAGUUCAUGUAUAGGUAAACUAUUUUUUAUAGUCGGUAUAUAUUUUCUAUGACUUUUAACUAUAUUGUUGUAGACAUUGAAAUUUUGUGCUACUCUAUAAAAUGUGUUCAAUUCAAGUUUGGAUUCUACAAAAUUGUUCAAUUCCAAUUAUGAUUCUUGGAGGCUACUCAAUCCUAAACCCUAGUUCAUGCCUAUAUAAAAGGUACUAUAUUCCCUUAAAAGGCAUCUCGAAUAUUUCGUAAAUUUAUGGAAUAUUCAUAAAGGGAUCAUCCAAAUCAUCCUAGUUCAGGAAAUACAACACUAACGGCCCUCGAAUCACAAAAAAAAUAUAAAGGAACAUGAAACAUAAUUUUAUUUAUCAAGAUUGUGAGUACAAAUUUGUUGAUUUUGCUUUCUUAAGAUUUAUCCAUGAUUCGAUUUAUCCAAUAAAGAAACAUGAAUCAUAAUUUUAUUUAUCAAGACUGUGAGUACAAAUCUAUUGAUUCUACUCUCCUAAGAUUUAUCCAUGAUUCGAGGGCCGUUAGUGGCGUAUUUCUCGAACUAAGAUGAUUUAAAUUUGAUCUCUAUAUGAAUAUUUCAUGACUUUUGUGGAAUAUCGAGAUGUCUUUUAAGGGAAUUUAGUACCAUUCAUAUAGGCAUGAACUAGAGUUUAGGGUUGAGUAGCUCCAAGAAAUCUAAUUGAAACUGAACACACCUUUUAAAGUCCCAAUUUAAAUUGAACAUGUCUUGUAGAAUCCCACAAAAUUUCAAUGUCUAUAAUUGUAUAAUCAAUGUAUAUAUUUUAUGAUUUUCGAUUAUAUUUUAUAUAAAUAAAAUAUAAAUAUACUAUUAUAAACUAGCCCAUAAAUAUUUAGAAAAUAUUAAAUGAGCUUUUUGAAAGUUGUCAAGGGAAGAGACAGGUAGCUUCUCGUGAAACGCGUGAAUUCUUCUACACGCCAAGAAUGACCAAGUCACGUCAAUGCAAAAAUUGACAUAAAAUAAAUAAUACUUAUUUACUUUUCUUUAGUUUAAGAAGUUAUCGACGACAUUUUAGUAGUUGAGUUGAUUGAUCUAAAAAAAUAAAUUGAAAUUAAUGAUAGAAAAGUUUUGUAGCUAAAUAAUAAUUUUUUUCGUUAAUUCUAUUUAGUAAUGAAUUAGCGAUAAAUUUCUGAUAGUUACGAGAAAAAUAACGAUGAAUAGCUAAUUUUAGUUUUUUUAUUUAGCAGUGAAGGUGUUCAGUGAGAAGGAAAAUAUUUUUGAAGAAAUUUGAGUUCAAUACGUAAGGGAAAAAAAUAUUACUCUAAAAAUAUUUGUAUAUAAUCUAGAUAGAUAUUAUGUAAGAUGAGAGUAGAGGUAGGGGUAAGAGUCGGGGCGGCGGGGGGGGGGGGUGUACAAGGCUACGAAUUUAGGAAUGAAGAUGAAGUGUGUUGGAGGUAAUAAUAACACAAUUUAUAUGGAAUGCACACUUAUUUUCUCUAUUUUCACUAAAAAAAUAAAUCAUUUUCUUGAUUUUUCAAAAACUUAUUUUCACAUAAAUAUACUAACUACCAAAUGUUGCAUUGGUUAUAUAUAUAUAUAUAUAUAUAUAUAUAUAUGAUACGAUGAUUAUUCUUUUUGAUCGGUAAUCAAACACUAUAUUAUCUUAUAUGACCUUUUAUAGUAAAAUUAUUAUUCCACUAUAUAUUAUCAACCAAAUGACCCCAAAAUAAUAUUGUUAAGAUAUGUCAAUAAUUUUUUAUUUGAACAAUAUAUAUAGUUUAUGAACAACUUUUAAAUGAUAAGUGUUGAUAAUAUCAAACACUAAAAGAAAACUGUGAAUUACAUGGGGAUUUUUCUGGGAAUUUUCAUACUAAUCCCCAGGAAAAUCCCAUAUAAUUCACAUUUUUUUUGUAGUGAAAACUUAUGAUAGGUUGGAUUGUAACAAUCUAUUCCUAUAAUUAUAGUUUUUGAAUUUAACUAUUGAGAAUAAAGUUCUCUUAACCUGAAGUAAUCUAUUUUGGAAUUUAGAUUAAUGUUUUCUGAUAUUAAUUACUACUAAUAUUUAAAGCAAAUCCAAAAAGUAACGUACUUUUUACUAUCAUCAAGGAAUAAUAUAAACCGUCAUGAGAUUUUACACUAAUUAACUUAACAUAUUUAUUCCCUUGUUUCAACUUUCAAUUUAUACUUUUUUUUCUUUAUUACACAUAAAAAUAAUGUUACUAUAUUAAAUAAUUUUUUUAAUUAACAUCCUUUGUAACAUAUUUAAGAAUAUUAUUAUUAUAAUAAUAAUAAUAAUAAUAAUAUUACUAUUUUAAAUAUUAUUUAUAAUUAAUAAAGGGAGUUGCAUGUCCAUCAUAACGUAUGAAAGUGGCUAUCAUCGAAUAUGAUAUUGUGGAUGAAGUUGUUCAUUUCUUAAUUAAAUGUUUUAGUUUUGAGUAUUGAAUAUGAAAAAUCUUUAAUAAAAAACGUUACUUUCAAAUGGAUCCUAUAUGGUAUAUUAAAUUAAUUAAAUUUCAAUACGAAUAUAAGUUAGUCAGACUCCAAUACGAAUGCACGGAAAAAAGAAGUUAUGGAAGUGACAGCCACCGGUUUAGGGAGCUGGAGUUAGGUUUAGGAUAUAACAACGUUUAAUAAAGCAUUACGCGUAUUGUUGUUUAUUUAUUCUUUUUUAAAAAAAUAUUUUAAUUUUCUCUUUCUUUGUUUCAUUCUUUACAAAGAUUUUUUUUUCUUUUUUUAAAAAAGAAGUCUUCAAAGUUCAAAUAUGUUGCAAAUUGAACCAAACUUCAUUAACAUAACUUUAUAAUAUAUCAAGUUGUUUAAUAUAAUGAAUUCAACAAGUUAUUUGAACUCGUGUCUAUAAUUAUUAAAAAUAUAUUAUAAAUAUUUCUUCAGGCGGCUCCAGGAAGAAAGCCUUAAAUUUCAUUUGAUAUAUAUAUAACUCUCUUGAUUUUUAAAAUAUUAUUUUGAUAUAAGAAAUACAUAAUAUGAAACGACAAAGUAUAAAAUAGGAAAAAUGGUCUGAAAGAUAUUUUAACUUUGGCCGAAAUUGUUGUUACGAUACCAAAUUUUAUGGAGGACCUUUUACCCCUGCACUAUUUAAUAGUAUAUUUUAAAGGUAUAUAUGUGCCCACGUGGACACAUUACUAUUUAAAAUAAUGAAAUAUUUAUGAUGUCCACGUAGGCACAUAUAUACCUUUAAAAUACAUUAUUAAAUAGUAAGGGGGUAAAAGUUCAUUUCCAAAGUUUGAUAUCGUAACAGCAAUUUCGACCAAAGUUAGAGUAUUUUUCAGACCCUUUUCCCUAUAAAAUACUACUCCCAUAGUCACAUAUUGAUUGUCUAAUUAUUUCGUCUAUAUUAAUUAUUACAUUUUAUCUUUUACACGCUCUUAAAAAAAUUAUAUAAAAAUAUUAUACUUUUAAGUACUAGUUUUUUUAUUAUAAAUAUUAUUUACUUUAAAAACAAACAACUUUUAAAGAGAAAAAUCGGGAAAAAGGUAAUAAUUCUAACAAAUAAUCAACUUAAUGUGGAUGAUUAUUAUAACAAAUGAUUAUUGGUGGGCUACUAGUCUAUCCCAAUUAUUGAUGUGUUAUUAUUAUUAAGUAUUUUUAAAAAUUUAUGAAUGAUUUUAAACAAUAAUGCAAUUACUAUUAAAAUAUUUCUAUAUCGUUCAAAAAGAAUGAUUGAGAAGGUUUAGGAGAAUGAAUGCAUCUAAUUUCCGGUUAAAUGCAUAUGUUAAUUCAAAAACAAUAUAAAUUACCAUUUUAUAGUAAAAAAAUCUCGAAGGCGAUAUCAUUUGGUUUGAAUAUAAAUUGUGUUAGGAAUUAAUUAUAUAAAUGUAAAUUAUAUUGAAUUAUUUUUUAUGACAGUUUGAUUAGUUAUAUUAAGAAAAAAAAAUGAUAAUUUCUAUGAAGAAGUAGUUGCUUAUAAAAUAUUCUCAACCAUAUAUAUAUAUAUAUAUANNNNNNNNNNNNNNNNNNNNNNNNNNNNNNNNNNNNNNNNNNNNNNNNNNNNNNNNNNNNNNNNNNNNNNNNNNNNNNNNNNNNNNNNNNNNNNNNNNNNNNNNNNNNNNNNNNNNNNNNNNNNNNNNNNNNNNNNNNNNNNNNNNNNNNNNNNNNNNNNNNNNNNNNNNNNNNNNNNNNNNNNNNNNNNNNNNNNNNNNNNNNNNNNNNNNNNNNNNNNNNNNNNNNNNNNNNNNNNNNNNNNNNNNNNNNNNNNNNNNNNNNNNNNNNNNNNNNNNNNNNNNNNNNNNNNNNNNNNNNNNNNNNNNNNNNNNNNNNNNNNNNNNNNNNNNNNNNNNNNNNNNNNNNNNNNNNNNNNNNNNNNNNNNNNNNNNNNNNNNNNNNNNNNNNNNNNNNNNNNNNNNNNNNNNNNNNNNNNNNNNNNNNNNNNNNNNNNNNNNNNNNNNNNNNNNNNNNNNNNNNNNNNNNNNNNNNNNNNNNNNNNNNNNNNNNNNNNNNNNNNNNNNNNNNNNNNNNNNNNNNNNNNNNNNNNNNNNNNNNNNNNNNNNNNNNNNNNNNNNNNNNNNNNNNNNNNNNNNNNNNNNNNNNNNNNNNNNNNNNNNNNNNNNNNNNNNNNNNNNNNNNNNNNNNNNNNNNNNNNNNNNNNNNNNNNNNNNNNNNNNNNNNNNNNNNNNNNNNNNNNNNNNNNNNNNNNNNNNNNNNNNNNNNNNNNNNNNNNNNNNNNNNNNNNNNNNNNNNNNNNNNNNNNNNNNNNNNNNNNNNNNNNNNNNNNNNNNNNNNNNNNNNNNNNNNNNNNNNNNNNNNNNNNNNNNNNNNNNNNNNNNNNNAACCAUAUAUAUAUAUAUAUAUAUAUAUAUAUUUAAUAUAAAAAUGACUUGCGGAAAGUAUUUUGUUAUUUUCAUUAUUUUAUUAUGAGACUUUCAAAUAGAAAUAUCUUAUUUCAGUAUUAUUAUUUCAUUCUCGGAGACUCUCACGGGCCAUAUUCUAUCCCGAAAUAAUUUUCUAAUCAUUUUAUAUCAAAUUUAAUAAUCAAAUAAAUAAUAAAAUAAUAUAUAAAUAUUUAUCUCAAAAUGAUCUAUCAUUGUCCAUCAUAUCAAACAACCCCCAAAAGUAUAUCUAAAAACUUGUUAAAAUAAUAUUAUUUUAACUAUUCAACUUGAGAAAAAAAAAGAAAGAGAACAAUUUCAGUUUCAAAUAAGAAUAAUAAUUUUUUCAAUACUAAUAAUUAAUAAUUUUAAUAUAAUUAUCUCAAAAUUGAUAAUCAAACAAAUAAUAAGUUUUUACAGCAAAUUUAUCUAUCAUUAUCCAUCUUACCAAACAAUAAAGUAUAUCUAAAGACUUACUAAAAUAAUAUUUUUUGACUAUUCAACAUGAGAAAAAAAAAACUAUUUCAAUUUUCAAAUAAUAAUAAUAAUAAUAAUAGUAACGAUCUUUUCGGAAGGGGUAGAAUAUUUGAAACUUGUUGGUUACUCAAUUGAUAUAGGAUUAUCAAUAUGGGACUGCAUCACCUUUAAUUUGAGAUUUUGGGUUCAAACUUUGGAGUAUAAGAAAAAUUGGUUCGUGUCGGGUUCGAAUUUUGAUGUUCAAAAAUUCUAUUAGGAACAUCACUUUCAAAUAAGUUCUGUAAAGUACGAUUUAAAUUUAUUUGAAACUCUAAUGUAUAUUUUGAACUCCGAAUGAAAACACAACAAAAAUUGAUAUAGAAUUAGUUGUAUGUUCAACGCUUUACUAUUAAUAUUAGCUGUACUUAUUUUAAUACUACGAGUAUUAUUUUUUGUUUCUUCUCUUUAAGAAGAAUCGAGAUCAUAAUAAAAGUGCUGAACGGACCAAAGAGAAAAAAAAGAAAGAGUCCUUCUAUAUUCUCGCUCGCCUUUAUUGACGCCUUCCCUCUUUUUUUCGAAAAAAAAUCUAAUUCGCCGGAGAUGAGAAAUAACAAACGUCGUUCUCUGGUGGUCGUUGAUGAUGGCGGCGGAGGAGGAGAUUGGCUGAAUAGAGGCGACGGUGUCGGAAGCGGCGGCUGUUAUAGUCAUGAGAGCGAACCUGACUUGGCUGCUAUGGUGAGUGACUUUCUGGAAAGUAGUAGCGCCGGUGCGGAGUCUAGGUAUAUCAGUGAUAAUGAUCCCGGUUACUCCGAUCUCGCUCUUCUUGCUGAUACGAUUUCGGUGAGUAUUCUGUACAUGUUGUGCUUAUUGCCUUUUGAUUUAUUUAUUUUUGGUGAAAUUGUUGAGUUUGAACAGCACAUAUGAAUGUUUAAUCUGGAGCAAUUAAUGUUGUAAUUGGAGUAAUUCUCAUUUCUGUGAAAUGAAUAGAUAUGCUUAUGUUCGUUAGUCUAGGUGCAUAAAGGAAGCUUGAAUAGAACAGGCAACAGUUUUCUGCAGAGUAAUGAAGGUUGGAAAUGGAAUUAUCCUUGUCUCCGUGUACAUAAAUGUUUAUCCUCAUCGGAUUUUAGUUUUGCAGCUUGUACAGAGGUGUUAGGGGUGAAAUUUGUUCUAGUCUUUUGGUACUCUUGGUGUAUAUGUAGCGAGCUUGAGUAGAGUAGAUACCGGUUCUAUCCAGGAACAAUUAAAGCAUGAAAUGGAGUAAUCCUUGUUUAUUUUUGUUCAUGUUUGUGCUCAUUGGAUUUUUAGUUUUGUAUGCCAUGGAAUUGUUCAAGUAUUUUGUGUAGGUAUAUGCAAAACUAAAAUGUAUAAUAGUGGAGGUGUACAUAAGUUGGCUUAGACACUUUCGAUAUCAACAAAUAAAGAAAUAAUAGUACAGCACAAAUGAUGGUUUCUCCAGAGGAUUAAAAUUUGAGAUGGAAUAAUUAGAGUUUCUUCAUCAUCUGUGCGUUACACGGAUCAUUGUUGAAUCUGUGAAACAUUUUGAAAUUGAUAUUGAUGCCUUUGAAAGAUAGGAAAUAGGAGGUAAGUAAUUUGAUCGGAAUUCUCAAUCGAUGCAUAAUAUAAAUUUUGAAAGUAACAGCUUUUCAGAGCUUGUGGUGAGUUUGUUGGAGUAGAAAUAGGAGAUAAUGAGGAGAAGUUUAAUGGAUUGAGAAUAAGUUUCCGUAGAGUAGAGAAAAGCCAAACAAGCUCAGGAGCUUAGUAGGUUAAAAAAUUCGUACUAACUAUAAGUAUGUAAACAGAAAGGGUAAUAAUGCAGUUACACAAGAGAUGUGAAAGAAAAAUAUUGCAAUUCUGCUUCAUGGCAGAGGUUAAUUUUGAUAAUAGCGUGUUACAAAAGGGCAGUCAAUGUAGAAGCAUGAUCGCAAUGUUCUUGCUCAAUUUACCUGCAUUAACUUCAACUCAGUUUUGGUGAUUGUUCUAAUUAGACAAUGUUUUUCGUUUGAAAUUGCACUCUGUAGGUAGAUACACAAUUUAAUUUAUUCUAUGUUAGUACAAGCUUCUGGAAAUGCAAAAAUGGGCAACCCACUGCCAUAAGCAAACUUACUAUCCUGCACCAAAUGCAGGGGUGAGCAAUAAUACUCCCCUUUCUUUUGGACACUUGAACUGACCCUGCUGACACCUUUCUGGGUAUACAAGGCAUGACUGUCAGUAGCAAGUUCCAGGGAGAUUGUUUUCCUUUUCCAGUAACUGGGGGAUCACAAUGACUUGGAAUGAACAAUUUUAACUGUUGGUAUAGAUAUCUAAAGUAACUGAUUGAUGCAUUAGGACCUGGAGGCUGGAGCUAUCUUUUCCCUCCUCUCUGCUUACCAGUGAAACAGACUUAUUUCUUUUAUUACCAUGUGACGUGUUUUAAAUAACUUCCUCAAUGAUCUAACCUGUCUAGAUACACACUAAGCUUGAGCAGCACAGAUAGAGAUUUAAUCUGGAGCAAUCCUCAUUUCAGUGAAUGGACAUGUUUAUGCUCGUAGGUCUAGGUGCAUCUGAACAAGUUUGAAUAGAACAGAUAGUAAUUUUCUGCAGAGUGAUUAACGUUUGAAAAGGAGUUAUCCUUGUCUCUAUGUAUACACAUGUAUAUCCUCAUCAGAUUUUAGUUUCGCAUGUGGUAUAGAUGUGUUAGGUGUGAAACAUAUUCUAGUGUUUCAGUGUAGGUGUAUAUGUAGCAAGCUUGAAUAGCACUGAUAAGGAUUUCAUCCAGGAACAAUAUAAGUUUGAACUGGAGUAAUCCUUGUUUUUACAUAUGCAUGUCUAUGGUCAUUGAAUUUUUGUUUUGCAUGAGGUUAGCAAUGAAGUUGUUCAAGUAUUUCUGUUUAAGUGAACAAAGUGAGCUCAUGUAAUAGUGAAGGCGUAUAUAGACUAGCCUGGACAAUACUCAUAUCAACAAAUUGAAAAAACGAUAGUAUAUGUUUCUUUGAGGAUUAAAAUUUGAAAUGUGGAAUAACUAGAGUAUUUUCAAUUACCUGUGCAUAGUUCAUGUCAGUCUGAUGUAUCAAUGGAAGUUGUCUGAAGAUGAGAACAAUGUCUUUGAUAAAUAGAGAACAGGAGUCAGAAGUGCUUUGAGCCUUUACAGGCUUGGAAAAAAUGAUUUGUAUUAUCAUCUUUGAAUGACUGUUCCUCCUCGUGAAAUAUAUAUUAGUCAAUGAAACGACUUUCUAAAUGACUGAGAGUUCUGAGCAUAAGACAACUGAAAUUCUAGCUUUCACAUGCUGGCCUGUUUUUCCUGGCUAAAUUUUAAAUAGUGUAUCUUCAUUUGUCAACAAGUGGAAAAAAUCUUAAUAAUGGAACUUCAUGGUAAAUUGUAUCAUUUUGCAGCUGUACAAGAAUUCAGUGGAUCGGUAUGAAAGUGAUCUAACAAUGGUGGUUCAUUCCCUUAUUCUUUCAAUGACCGAAUCUUUUCAUAUUGGCAAGCCCGAAACAUGCAAUGCAAGCUGCAUCAGAUCUUAUCUAGUGAAGCUCCUCCAGUCUUGUGGUUUUAAUGCAGAUAUGUGUGCAACCAAGUGGCAGGGUUGUGGAAAAAUUCCUGGAGGUAUGUUUUUUUCUAAAUUCAAUUCUUGCCUGUGUACUAUAUUAAGAGGUCUAACUAUGAACAUUAUUUAGCUCAAGUAUGAAAGCCUUUGACUGUACAAAUGUUACAGUCUGAACCACUGAGAAUGUAUCCGUAGCCUCUGAAUGGUGUGGUGGCAUUGUGCGCCAUAUGUGUUACUAGUAGUUUCAACUAGAUAACGUGUUCAUGUCGCUGUGUCUUGUGAUUAAAAUAUUUAAAUUUGCACUGUCAAACAUCCUUGUGAGCUAGAUUUCUGGUUGACAUUGUGCUACAUUUCCUCUGUUAUGUAGGUGAACACGAGUACAUUGAGGUGAUCUCCCAUGGAAAUGAUGGAUGCUCCGAAAGGUAUAUCAUUGAUCUUGACUUUCGGAGCCACUUUGAAAUUGCAAGAGCUGUCAAAUCCUACAAUGUGGUCUUGAGUUGUCUUCCACCAGUUUAUGUUGGCACAGUAACAAAACUUAAGCUGUAUCUUCAGGCUAUGGUAGAAGCAGCUAAAUGUUCACUCAAACAGAAUUCAAUGCCUCUUCCUCCAUGGCGAUCCCUUGCCUAUCUAGAAGCCAAGUGGGAGUCCAGUCACAGAGUAGCCAAUGUUCAGGUUCAGAGUAGCGUCAGCUCCUCUAAUUCCUCUCAUCGGCAUUGUACUGAGCUGUUGUGGAGGAUAAAAUCCUGUAUUGGAUCUGAAAUCAAAGCUAAAGGAUUCUUGGUACUUAAGACCUGUAGAAAGAGGCAGGGGCUAAAGAUCGAAUCGAGUCAUUCUUCCCCAGUGACUCCAUGAUCUUGCAUUGAAAAAACACAAUUUUGUUCGACAUCAACUUUUUGAAGGUUUUUGUUCCUCUCUUCAUUUCUACUUCCAUUUUCGACAUUCAACAAAUUACAGAAAGCUUCAACAUGAGGUAAAAUUACUGCGGAUUUAGUUUGUUCUUUUUGUAUCAUAAUAACACUGACUCGGGAGGAUCUUAUUCAUGUGCUACCGCGAUCAAGGUUUUGCAGAGUACAAUUAGAGUUGCAUCUGGUUUUUGUUUUAGCAACUUGCUAGUUGCUACCAUAAUACAGAAUAUAUCAAAUUUUGACUGGGUUUCCCAAUUUUGUACCUUCUUGGUCUAAAGAUCAGAUUCUAUUCGAUUUAUAUUUUAUUUUUUUGAUUCAAUUUUGACAUACGGAUAAUUGAAUAUUUCACGGGAUUUGUGGAAAAAGAAGAAGAUUUUUAGUAGGUACUCAGAUGUGUAAGUGAUGUAUUUUUUAUAUUUUGGUAUGUUUAUUAGUCUUGUGCAACCUUUCGAUGUGUUACUUCUUGCUAUUCAUUAUUUAUGUUUGGUAUUUAGUGUAGCUUAAUGUAUUGUGAUUUCUGGAAUUUGAUUAGACCUUUAGCGUUUCUUAUUAAAAAUUUUUUUUCAUAAUGCCUCUCAAAUCUAACCGACAGAGUUUGUUGGAACAAAAAAGGAUUAAAACUGCAUAGUUUAGUUUAGGCAUAAUACAUAAAGAGGACCUUUAACUUGGCAUCAAUUCACAACUAUUACCCUAAACUUUGCCAGUGCACAAGUAGGCACUUUAACCAUCACAAAUUUAAACAAUUAAACACUCGUAUAUCCCAGGUAAAGUGCGUGCUAUACAAAUGCUUCUACGUGGCUGCCAACUAAUUAAAAUAAAUACACGUGGAUUUUUCAAUUAAAAAACUGAAAAUAAAAACAAAAUAAAUAUCAAUUAACAACUCUGACCCUAUGCUUAUAACGGAGAACAACGUUUUCCUCUUUCUUCUCUACAAAAUCCUAACCUAAUUCUCUACAAAAUCCUAACCCUAAGUUCCUACAUUUCAUCCUUCGAAUCAAAGGUAAAAUUGUUCAAGAAAUUGUGAAGAAAGAGAGGAAAAUGGCAAAAAGUUGUUGAAGAAAUUAGAAAGAAGAGAGUAAAGUGAGAUUUUAUAUAUAUGAAAGAGAUUCAUUAAGGGUAGAAGUGUCAUUUAAGUCGUUUUUUUUACUGUUGGGGACCUUUAUUUUUACCACUGACGCGCCUAAUUGAAGUGUGUUUCACGCACUUUGCCAUGUAGGAUUAGAGUGUUUAAUUGUUAAAUUUUUGGAUAGUUGAAGUGCCUACUUGUGCAAUAGCAAAGUUUAAGGUCAUAGUUAUGAAUUAAUGUCAAGUUAAAGGUCCUCUUUAUGUAUUAUGCCUUUAGUUUAUUAAAAGUUAUAGAAAUAUAUCUCAAUUAUAGUACCAAGUUUACUUGUUAUGCACCGUUAGUGUCAAUUGUCAACUAUUACGAUAGUAACAUGUGCCCCUUGUCAUUGCUUGAUGAUGAUUGAUGGAUAUAUUUACGAUAUUUAUUGGUAUGCUACAUUAUUGAAAGGUGCCUUAUUGAAAUGCAUUUCCUCCGUUAAAAUUUGAGGAUAUUUAAUGGAAAUAUAAACUAUUUGGUGAUGUGUCCCAAUUAGGAUGGAGUUUAGUGGUUUGAAGUCCAUGUGAGACAAAAUUCAAUAUUUAUAAGUUUAAAUAAUUGUAUAAUUUUAUAUAAUAAUGGUAUAUAUAUAUAUACCCAUAAUCUAACAAAUAAGGGAUAUUUAUCCUUUUCAUUAACAAAUAUAUAUUUACUAAAUCAAAAAAUCAAUUCUUAAAUUCAUUUCUUAAUUUAAAAAAUAUCAUGUAACUUAAAAAAUAAACUCAUCUAUUCUUUUACAUAUCAGAGUUCAUACCCAAUGUAAAAUAUCAAAUCCUAUCCCAAUGGUAAUAGCUAAUUACAUCUUAUUUCUAUUUUUUUUUAAAUUAUAAAAAUCUCUUAAAUUUGAUGGAAUCUGGAUACAUCCCAAAAUGUCUCUGUACAUCGAGUUUUGAUUUCAAAUACAUCUCUUAACUUUUCGAUACAUCGUGUCUCGAUUUUGAAUAUAUCACUCAUUAUCUUGAUACACGUACGUCCCGAUACAUAGUGUAAAGUGAUGUAUCCAAGAAUAGAAGAGAGCAUAGAUUUUUAUAAUUUUACAAAUGAUAGAAAAUUUUAAAGAAUAUGAUAAAUAAAUUAUAUGUUUAAGUAAUUUUUCCUUCUUUUGCUCAGUCAUAAAAUAGGUUAAUAUAACAUCUAGAGCCGUCAAAACGGGCUUAGUCCAUGGGGCCGAUCCAAUCCAAUCCGUUAUUGGGGUAGGGUUGAGAAAAGAUUUUUCAAGCCCAUUUGAAACUAGGGCUUGAUCGGGGCCGAGCCAAGGUCGGCCCAUGGGCCAAAUUUUUUUAUUUAAGAGUAACUUACGAUAAUCUCACUAGUAUAUAAUCUAAUUACUUAAAUACACACUAUGUUGUAAUAUUAUGAAUCUUACCAGAUUUUGGUAUGUCCAGAUAUGUAUAUCUCGGAAUAUAUGGACUCAAAAUCAAUUUGUUCUAGAUACACUCUAUCCAAGUAAAUUCGCAUUCAUCUAGGAUACAUAGACAAAUCUCGUGCCCUCGCCUCCAUCCCAUCUUGAUGUUCACUCUUUUAUCUCCCUCGCGUAUCUGGUAUGCGAGAUACAUGCUAAUUACACUAGAUUUUUUGCUAGUUUUAUUGAAACAAACCAUUGUUUGUCAUAUUUGAUUUGAAAAUUUCCUCAUUUUCUUGAUGUUACAGAACUAUAAGUUUGAAAAGAAAAAAAAAAGUAAAAAAAAAGUAGGGCUAGCCCGCCCCAACCCUCGACCCUUCUAAGGUUGGGUUGGGUUGAACAUUUUCAGGCCCUUCCAAAUGAAGGGUCGCCCGCCCUAGCCCUUCAAAUUCCUUGGCCCAUGAGGUUUGGACCGGGUGGGGCUAGGCCGACCCUUUUUUUGACAGCUUUAAAUUAACAUCUAAAUAAAAGAGAGAUAAUUUUUUAAAAAAAAUUUAAUUAAAUUUAUUAAUAAAAAUCAUUAUAAAUAUACAUUACUCCCUCCAUCCCAUUUGAUGUGUCACUUUUCAGAUUUUGAGAUUCAAACAAAUCUAACUUUGAUCAUAAAUUUUUCAUAGUUCUUUUAAACAUUUAGAAUUAUCAAUUAUUGCGACUUAUAGUACUUUUUAUGUAGUUUACAAAUAUAUAAAUUUCAUUUCAAAAAAAUUAAAAAUUUCAUGUGCAAAUUUCCAAUUAAAUUUAAACUGUUUGAUUUCGAAAAAGGAAAAGUGUCGUGACAGAGGCAGCAUUUAUUAGACACAAACAUUGAUAUUUGCAUGCAUCGAAAAAGGCGAAACAAACAAAAACUGAUAAAAAAAAAGAAAAGGAAAAUCGGAGUGUGUAGAAGAUAACAAGAAGAAAAGAUGCCUCGGAGUCGAUUUGCAGGAUCAUUGAUUUCUCCAAAGGUGGAUGUUUACAUUGAUAUGGGAAACCCUUUUCUAAAUCACACUGUUGAUGCUUUCUUGAAGAUCGGCACUGUAAAUUUUCUCUAAAUUCAUUUUCAUUUCUUCCAAAAAAAAAUUCGAUCUUGUGAAAAUGGGUUUGCUUAAUUUUUAUCCUAAUUUUAGGUUGCUGCCACCAAAACUGUUGCUGAAGAAACUUACGGAAUAGUCACUAGAGGUUUGAUUUUUAGUGCUCUCAUUCCAUUUCUUGAAUACCCAAUUUCAAAUUAAUCAUUCAUCUUUAAUUAUUACUCUCCCUGUCCCUAAUUACUUGUUCACUUUUGAAUUGAUUAAGAAAUCAAUAAUUAACAUAGUGAGUUAAACAUUUUAGCCUAUUAAUUAUGAAGUGGAUGAAUUAAAAGCUCUAAAGAUUUUCAAAAAGUUUCACCUUUUUCAAAAUAAUUAAUUGAUGGUAUAAUAUAUAAAAAAAUUGUCCUUUGUUGAUUUGUUGAAAUGGACAAAUAAUUAUGAACAACUAAGAAAAGCAAAGUGAACAAGUAAUUAGGGAUAAACGAAAGUGGACAAAUUAGGGAGAAGGAGUAUUGAUUAUGUGUUGGGAGUGACUAGAAUAUGACCUAUGUUACAUUACAUGGACUUGUAUAGACAGCUAUAAUUACCCUAUACUGUUUUUCUGGUUUUUUUUUUUUUUUUUUUUUUUUUUUUUUUUUAACGGUGGUGAUUGGACCAGCUUUUGAUAACCUCCGUUAAUUCCAUGUGUCCACCUCCCACCAACAAAAAUGAUAACGGUGGUGAUUGGACCAGCUUUUGAUAACCUCCGUUAAUUCCAUGUGUCCACCUCCCACCAACAAAAGGUUGGAGGAAAUUCCGUCACCAAGACUAAUACAUAUGAGAAAAGUUCACCUAGUGUUUUUUUUGCCUUUGUUGAGAUUUGAACCUCAAACUCUAUGGUUCUCAACCUACUUUAUUGAUACUAGGCCACAUCCUUAAAUGUCAUAGUUAUUAAUUUUUUGGGUAACGGUUAAUGCUUUUACUGUUUAGUCCAAUGACUACACUAAGCAUCAUCACUAUUAAUAGUUGAGGUAAAAAUCCAAUAUUCUAUUUUUGUUCUUUUGAUCUUUUUCUCGUGUUAUGGUAAAGUGUUAGUUCCUAAGUUUUUAAGUUACAAGCUUUUAUAUAUAGAAAUAGCCAGACUAUUCAGCUCACUAUUUUGCAAUCAACAUGGUCUUUGCAGGCAGUGUUUCGAGUCACAACUUUGAGAAAUCGGUAAGCAUGCCUUAAUUAGUGUUACAUCAUUUACUAUAUUUGUGCAAAAUUCUAGUUGAUUGUUUUAGAGGUGUUGUCUAUUCAGUUCUAUAUAAGGGAGAUGUUUUCUAAUAAUUUGGAAAAUGAAGUCUCAAAUUUCUAUCAUUCUUUCCGUCCUAGGGAUAACAUUUCUCUACCGUGUUUAUCCUAUGCAUCUCUCUCAAGUAGUGUUGUCUUCUUUACCUUACAAUGUGUCUGCUGAUAAGUUCAGUCCUGGUGAGGGAGGUGAACAAUAUAUUUUAGCCACACAAAUCAUACCGUUAUUCCUGUUGAUUAUCGUACCAAUUACAGGCUCCUACGUACGUCCUCUCUCCGUAUCCAACUGUAUCUCAGCUAGUUUUCCUCUACCUGGGACUAAAUAGUUUAAUCCGUUCUAUGUGA